This 219-nucleotide unclassified non-coding RNA is filed under the name Hevea brasiliensis (rubber tree). The record is from RNAcentral. Lineage: Eukaryota; Viridiplantae; Streptophyta; Magnoliopsida; Malpighiales; Euphorbiaceae.
AAGGAACAAGAUGAAAUUGGUUGAAUGUGUUUUCUAGAGAUUUAUUCUACAUCUGAUGUUAUUAAGCAUAUGACUAUUGUUUAAGAGACUUUGUGCACGCUUUAUAAUUAGUAUGUUGAAGCUCAUAAAGCAAAAAAUUUUGACACAAAAAUUAGUGUUGCUGAAAACCAAAGGGAAGGAUCUAAUUGUAAUGUUAGUGGGAAAGGAAAAGUUAGAGGG